Molecule: transfer RNA, 73 nt
Filed under: Trichonephila clavata
Lineage: Eukaryota; Metazoa; Arthropoda; Arachnida; Araneae; Nephilidae
Rfam family: tRNA
About the family: Transfer RNA (tRNA) molecules are approximately 80 nucleotides in length. Their secondary structure includes four short double-helical elements and three loops (D, anti-codon, and T loops).
Source: Rfam by way of RNAcentral
GUCCCUGUAGCGCAAUGGAUAGCGAGUUGGACUUCUGAUUCAAAAGUCGUGGGUUCGAAUCCCACCUGGGAUG